ACACGACUACAUUAGAUACCCCGGUAGUCCUAGCCGUAAACGAUACUCGCUAGGUGUCGGCCACGGUGCGACCGUUGUCGGUGCCGUAGGGAAGCCGUGAAGCGAGCCACCUGGGAAGUACGGCCGCAAGGCUGAAACUUAAAGGAAUUAGCGGGGGAGCACAACAACGGGUGGAGCUUGCGGUUUAAUUGGAUUCAACGCCGGAAAUCUUACCGGGACCGACAGCAACAUGAAGGCCAAGCUGAAGACUUUGCCGGAUUAGCUG
RNAcentral lists this ribosomal RNA (265 nucleotides) under uncultured archaeon. Its description in RNAcentral is "partial 16S ribosomal RNA". It matches the Rfam family "Archaeal small subunit ribosomal RNA", at positions 717 to 982 of the family's 1478-position model. The record is from RNAcentral.